RNAcentral lists this transfer RNA (72 nucleotides) under Camelus bactrianus (Bactrian camel). It matches the Rfam family "tRNA". Rfam says of the family: Transfer RNA (tRNA) molecules are approximately 80 nucleotides in length. Their secondary structure includes four short double-helical elements and three loops (D, anti-codon, and T loops). Further hydrogen bonds mediate the characteristic L-shaped molecular structure. tRNAs have two regions of fundamental functional importance: the anti-codon, which is responsible for specific mRNA codon recognition, and the 3' end, to which the tRNAs corresponding amino acid is attached (by aminoacyl-tRNA synthetases). tRNAs cope with the degeneracy of the genetic code in two manners: having more than one tRNA (with a specific anti-codon) for a particular amino acid; and 'wobble' base-pairing, i.e. permitting non-standard base-pairing at the 3rd anti-codon position. The record is from Rfam by way of RNAcentral. Lineage: Eukaryota; Metazoa; Chordata; Mammalia; Artiodactyla; Camelidae. RNAcentral also lists the same sequence under 3 other names.
GAGGGUAUAGCUCAGUGGUAGAGCAUGUGCUUAGCAUGCACAAGGUCCUGGGUUCAAUCCCCAGAACCUCCA